UGAGGAACAUGACCUUCGGCGGGGGAUAGCCGGCCCAACGGCCGGGUAAUACCGCGUACGACCACAUGGGGACAUCCCUGAGUGGUGAAAGCAGCAAUGCGCCGAUGGAGUGCCUCGCGGCCUAUCAGCUAGUUGGUGAGGUCAUGGCUCACCAAGGCGACGACGGU
Molecule: ribosomal RNA, 167 nt
Filed under: uncultured bacterium
Lineage: Bacteria
Description: partial 16S ribosomal RNA
Rfam family: Bacterial small subunit ribosomal RNA
Source: RNAcentral